AUUCAGCUGACGAGCCCCAAAAUAGGACGAAAAGUGAGUCCUGGAU
This 46-nucleotide non-coding RNA is filed under the name Schistosoma mansoni. The record is from RNAcentral. Lineage: Eukaryota; Metazoa; Platyhelminthes; Trematoda; Strigeidida; Schistosomatidae.